Molecule: ribosomal RNA, 170 nt
Filed under: Rhinogobiops nicholsii (blackeye goby)
Lineage: Eukaryota; Metazoa; Chordata; Actinopteri; Gobiiformes; Gobiidae
Description: partial small subunit ribosomal RNA
Source: RNAcentral
AGCCGCGGUUACACGUAGGGGCCCAAGUUGACGGAAAUACGGCGUAAAGUGUGGCUAACAGAAUUUCGAAACUAAAGCCGAACCCUGCUGCGGCUGUCAUAAGCAUCCAGAAAAGGGAAGCUCACACACGAAAGUGGCUUUAACUACUGCCACCCACGAAAGCCAAGGAA